UUUUCCUCACCCCUUCAAACUGUCGGGGAGACCCUGCCCUUCACCUAGCUCCCUUGGCCAGGCAUGAGGGAGCCAUGGCCUUGGUGAAGCUACCUGCCUCUUCUCUCGCAGCCCUGAUGGGGGAAAGGGAGUGGGCACUGCUUGUGGUUUAGGUUCCCCUCUCCCUUUUUCUUUUUAAUUCAAUUUGGAAUCAGAAAGCUGUGGAUUCUGGCAAAUGGUCUUGUGCCCUUUAUCCCACUCAAACCCAUCUGGUCCCCUGUUCUCCAUAGUCCUUCAUCCCCAAGCACCACUGUACAAAGUGGGGACCAGCCCCCUUCCCUGCCUGUGUCUCUUCCCAAACCCCUCUUUAGGGGUGACAAGAAGAGGAGGGAGGAGAGGACACGAUCCCUCCUCAGGCAUCUGGGAAGGCCUUGCUCCCAUGGGCUUUACCCUUUCCUGUGGGCUUUCUCCCUGACACAUUUGUUAAAAAUCAAACCUGAAUAAAACUACAAGUUUAAUAUGAAAAAAA
Molecule: long non-coding RNA, 508 nt
Filed under: Rattus norvegicus (Norway rat)
Lineage: Eukaryota; Metazoa; Chordata; Mammalia; Rodentia; Muridae
Description: long non-coding RNA NONRATT013985
Source: RNAcentral